ACGGCUCAGUAACACGUGGCUAACCUACCCUUAGGACGGAGACACCCCCGGGAAACUGGGGCUAAUACCCGAUAGGUGAGGAGGCCUAGAAUGGUUCUUCGCUGAAAAGGCGUUGAAACCAUGCUUUUCAACGUCGCCUAAGGAUGGGGCCGCGCCCGAUCAGGUUGUUGGUGAGGUAACGGCUCACCAAGCCUAUAACCGGUACGGGCCGUGAGAGCGGGAGCCCGGAGAUGGGCACUGAGACAAGGGCCCAGGCCCUACGGGGCGCAGCAGUCGCGAAAACUCCGCAAUGCGCGAAAGCGUGACGGGGCUACCCCGAGUGCCGUCCGCUGAGGAUGGCUUUUCCCCGGUGUAAUGAGCCGGGGGAAUAAGGAGAGGGCAAGACUGGUGUCAGCCGCCGCGGUAAUACCAGCUCUCCGAGUAGUAGGGACGAUUAUUGGGCUUAAAGCGUCCGUAGCCGGCUUAGCAAGUCUCCUGUUAAAUUCAGCGACCUAAUCGUUGAGCCGCGGGAGAUACUACUAGGCUAGGAGGCGGGAGAGGCCGACGGUACUCCCGGGGUAGGGGUGAAAUCCUAUAAUCCCGGGAGGACCACCAGUGGCGAAGGCUGUCGGCUAGAACGCGCUCGACGGUGAGGGACGAAAGCUGGGGGAGCGAACCGGAUUAGAUACCCGGGUAGUCCCAGCUGUAAACGAUGCGGGCUAGGUGUUGAGGUGGCUACGAGCCACUUCAGUGCCGCAGGGAAGCCAUUAAGCCCGCCGCCUGGGGAGUACGGCCGCAAGGCUGAAACUUAAAGGAAUUGGCGGGGGAG
This 808-nucleotide ribosomal RNA is filed under the name uncultured archaeon. Its description in RNAcentral is "bacterial SSU rRNA". It matches the Rfam family "Archaeal small subunit ribosomal RNA", at positions 85 to 876 of the family's 1478-position model. The record is from RNAcentral.